GGAUGCGAUCAUACCAGCACUAAAGCACCGGAUCCCAUCAGAACUCCACAGUUAAGCGUGCUUGGGCGAGAGUAGUCCUAGGAUGGGUGACCCCCUGGGAAGUUGGGGCGUCACAGAUG
Molecule: ribosomal RNA, 119 nt
Organism: Ananas comosus (pineapple)
Lineage: Eukaryota; Viridiplantae; Streptophyta; Magnoliopsida; Poales; Bromeliaceae
Source: Rfam